UUGGGCUGUUGGGGGACUGGAGUUGGGCUGUUGGGAGUACUGUAGUAGUAGCUAGUACUGUUAGCUGUUAGCUACUGAAGCUACUAGCUAGUACUGUUAGCUGUUAGCUAGCUAGUACUGUUAGCUGUUAGCUAGCUAGUAUUGUUAGCUGUUAGCUACUGUAGCUAGUACUGUAAGCUAGCCAGAUAGCCACGAAGAAAUGUUAGCUAGCUACCCUAGAAUUUACCUAACAUUAGUAACAUUAGUUUUAGGUCAUUUUUGCCUGUUAAAAUGUCUGGUUAGCUACUCACGAAAAAUGUACAUCUACCUUGCAUAACAUUAGUUUUUAGCUCAUUUUUGCCUGUUUAACUAGCUGGCUAGCAAGAUUAUUACAAUUGACAUAAAUCGAGCUGAUAAUUAUGAAGUAAAAUGUUUUCUGUGUGUAUAUCUUGUUUGGUCUCUAUUGUUACCAUUGUCCUGGCUGGAAGACAGUUAAGUGAAGUGAGGAGGUGCAGCGUGAGGUAAUAGAGUUGGGGGAGGAACAGCGUGAGGUAAUACAGUAGGGGGAGGAGCAGCGUGAGGUAAUACAGUAGGGGGAGGAGCAGCGUGAGGUAAUACAGUAGGGGGAGGAGCAGCGUGAGGUAAUACAGUAGGGGGAGGAACAGCGUGAGGUAAUACAGUAGGGGGAGGAGCAGCGUGAGGUAAUACAGUAGGGGGAGGAGCAGCGUGAGGUAAUACAGUAGGGGGAGGAGCAGCGUGAGGUAGUAGAGUAGGGGGGGGAGAGUGCUUCUAAAAUGUAAUGAUUUAUGCGUUCUCCACACUCUCAUCCUCACAAGAUCGUAUUGAAGAGCACAUCCUCGGAGAAUGAGAGUGUGGAGAGAGAGAGAGACAGGGGUCAGGUCUGUGUGGGUGGUGAUGGUGUAGUAGAGGUAGUGAUGGGGUCAGGUCUGUGUGGGUGGUGAUGGUGUAGUAGAGGUAGUGAUGGGGUCAGGUCUGUGUGGGUGGUGAUGGUGUAGUAGAGGUAGUGAUGGGGUCAGGUCUGUGUGGGUGGUGAUGGUGUAGUAGAGGUAGUGAUCGGGUCAGGUCUGUGUGGGUGGUGAUGGUGUAGUAGAGGUAGUGAUGGGGUCAGGUCUGUGUGGGUGGUGAUGGUGUAGUAGAGGUAGUGAUGGGGUCAGGUCUGUGUGGGUGGUGAUGGUGUAGUAGAGGUAGUGAUGGGGUCAGGUCUGUGUGGGUGGUGACGGUGUAGUAGAGGUAGUGAUGGGGUCAGGUCUGUUAUUAUGAAGGUAGUGACAUAUUCCAAUAUAGAAAAAGUCAUUCUGUUGAUCUUAGAUGGACCAAUUGUUUAAUCAACACUAACUGUUUUAUCAAUAACGGAUAAGAUCCUAAAGUUAACAUCAGUAUUUCACAGUGUUAUUGUUGGACUGGUGUGUGUGUGACAGGUAUGACGUAAGAGGAAGAACAAUACGAGUGAACAACUCUUUAAUGUUUAAAACUCCCAGCGAUGAAGACCGACACACACACACACACACACACACACACACACACACACACACACACACACAGACACAGAGUAUAAUUGCUGGAUAAGGGGUUGAAAUGUCUAUCAUAGCUAGAGGUGGGGAGGAGGGGGUGUUGAGGCCUCUGGAAAGGCCAGGGCAGACAGGAGAUCACAUGGAAGUGGUUUGAUCAUACAUAAGAUACGGUUAUACAGUUUAGAAGAGGAAGUUAGAGGGGGAGGAAUGUAGGUGAGGGAGGAAGAGAGAGCGCUGGGGAGAGAGAGAGGGGGGACGAGAGAGAGGGCUGAGGAGAGAGAGGGAGAAAGAGAGAGGGCUGAGGAGAGAGAGGAUGGAAGAGAGGGAGGGCUGAGGGGAGAGAGGGAGAAAGAGAGAGAGGGGUGAGGAGAGAGAGGGAGGAAGAGAGG
This 1900-nucleotide long non-coding RNA is filed under the name Salmo salar (Atlantic salmon). RNAcentral's name for it is "lncRNA (ENSSSAG00000084898.1)". The record is from RNAcentral. Lineage: Eukaryota; Metazoa; Chordata; Actinopteri; Salmoniformes; Salmonidae.